GGCGUUUGGUAACCGGCAUGGCUGCUACCUGUUUCUGGCUGGAGCCUCGGACACUGGCUCACUGCAGUUGGUGGUGUCCACAGAGCGGUAGGAGGGCAACUAGUAGCGGGAGCUUCUCCUGCCAGGCAGGAAGACGAGUAGAAGGGAGCAGCACCGACGCAUGCUGGAGGCUGGAGCCUGAGCCCCUGGGGCUCGCCUUGCUGUGUUUGGUGGUGACGUGGGACACUGCAGCUCGGCCAGAGUGGUAGAAAUGUCCUGGUGUAGGCUUUUCUGGCUUUGCCGGUCUAGCUGCUCCAAGCCAGGCUGGAGGAGGAGGAGAAGGAAUCACCUGUGGUACGCUGGAGCCUGCAUGUGGCGUGACUCUGCAGCUCGCCUCGUGUGACUGAUGGCAGCCACGGAGACUGCAGCUCGACAGGAGUGGUAGGAGGGUGCCCGCGGGGGCAAGGUGGUAGGAACCUUGUAGGGUGGGCUGCUGCAUUGACGGCGACAGCAACUGUAUUGGCAUUGGUGCUAGUGGUGGUAGUGGCAGAAAGUCUGGGGACUGGGAAGGGGGAGUAGGAGCACUGCAGGGCCCAGUCCGACCUGGGGUGGGGAGGAACCUGCUGGUGCUGUACCAUGGGCCUCGGUGGCAGUGGUGGAGGUGCACUUAGGGAAAGGAGUCCUCCCCCUUCUCUUGCAAUCUCUGGAGGGUGGCCUCCUUCUGAGCCAGGCAUGAGUGGCAGCAUUGUCUCAUUCUUAACAAAAUUUAGGGGGUGACUGUGUGUGUGUGUGUGUGUG
This 777-nucleotide long non-coding RNA is filed under the name Homo sapiens (human). RNAcentral describes it as "non-protein coding lnc-POTEE-1:1". The record is from RNAcentral. Lineage: Eukaryota; Metazoa; Chordata; Mammalia; Primates; Hominidae.